GUGUGUCUGAAGGGCAAACGGGAUAUCCGAUUGAUAGAGGAAGUUGUUCGGGUUGAGAGAUCAAAUACUAUUGUCAUUGAACGUAAAGCUGACAAUGAUUCAAGAAAUAGAAGGCGUCGUCAAGCAAAAAACAAAAAAAGGGACGAUGAAUGGAGGCUAGAUACACAAUGGGGUUUCUAGUUGAGGAAGUGUCAUUGACUUUUCUUCCACCCUUUUGCUUUAGCUUCACAAGAUGCACUUGAGUAUUCACCCUCAUUAAUCUAGGGCCUGGCAAUCGAUUACCAUGCAUGGCAGAUAGUAGUUGGCAGAAGAAUGCUCUGCAUAUCUCUUACCUUCAAGUACACUCACUCACACACGUACACGCACACAGGUGAAUAGGUGAGGUCGCAACGCAAGAUUGAAGCACUCAACUCCGGGGUUUCAAACCGACGAGAGGAGUUGACUUGAGAGUCCCGACCAGAAAUCAGAAAA
Tigriopus californicus is the source of this 471-nucleotide long non-coding RNA. RefSeq lists it as uncharacterized. NCBI's taxonomy places the organism in Eukaryota, Metazoa, Arthropoda, Copepoda, Harpacticoida, Harpacticidae. The record is from RefSeq and is a predicted model, not a curated record. The transcript is spliced from 2 exons.